Molecule: ribosomal RNA, 261 nt
Filed under: uncultured archaeon
Lineage: Archaea
Description: partial 16S ribosomal RNA
Rfam family: Archaeal small subunit ribosomal RNA
Source: RNAcentral
CAGCCGUAAACGAUGUGCGUUAGGUGUAUCGACGACCACGAGUUGUCGAGGUGCCGAAGGGAAACCGUGAAACGUACCGCCUGGGAAGUACGGUCGCAAGGCUGAAACUUAAAGGAAUUGGCGGGGGAGCACCACAACAGGUGGAGCCUGCGGUUUAAUUGGACUCAACGCCGGGAAUCUCACCGGAUAGGACAGCGGAAUGAUUGCCGGGCUGAAGACUCUGCAUGACUAGCUGAGAGGAGGUGCAUGGCGUCAGUGACU